This is a long non-coding RNA of Pelmatolapia mariae (spotted tilapia), 1725 nucleotides long. RefSeq lists it as uncharacterized. The transcript has 4 exons. The record is from RefSeq and is a predicted model, not a curated record. NCBI's taxonomy places the organism in Eukaryota, Metazoa, Chordata, Actinopteri, Cichliformes, Cichlidae.
GUUUAUUUGUAGCCUCGCUAGCAAUCCAGCAUUUCAUCUCCGAGGAAGUGAUCCCAGAGAGAAGUAAAGCAAGUGUUGCUUCCAUCAGGUCUGAUUUGUUAUUAUCGGUCUCAGUCUGGUUCUGACUCUGCAGCUCAUUGAUCUUCUACAGAAGAAGAGGAGACAGCUUCCAACCUGGACGCCAGUAAGAUACACAGAUGGGUUUUAGACAGAAAACCUUUGAUGAGCAACUGGUUUCAUUCAAGCCAGUGUACUCUUGGUGCUGGUUCUGGAUAAAUGGGAAGGGUUGCAUAAGGAAGGGCACUGGCACAAAAUAUUUGUGAAAUCAAACAGCAAGAAUGUGAUUUUUGUAUUGAACUGCUGAUCUGGCCUCGAGUUGACAACAAACACCUCCAGUGUGCCAACAGAGUGCCAGUGGAAACUAUUCUGCUCUUGGCCAAAGACAAAAGAAGAGGAGAGGUGGAAGGCAUGUUAGGAGAGAGAAAUACAUCAUGAGACAGAACUCAGGAAAUAAUUUGCGGUUUUAGUUAUUUAAGUCAAAAACAGUUCUACGUUUACUAUUUUACAUGUGAGUGUUUAAGUAAGAAUAGGCCUAUACUAGUUAAUCUCCAGCAAGAUGUUGACUGUCUAAGGAUCCAAAACAGGUUUGGAAUUUAUCAGUGAAAGAAUAACAAUAUACAUAAUAAUAAUCACAUUAUCAAUAUAAAGACUCACAAAUGUAAUGUUUUAACCUUCUACUGGAGGGAGAUUGAUGAAACCUGCACAUAUUUAAAAAAAAUGCACACUAAGCCCCUUUUUGCCCCUUCCCACCUCAAUUUUAAGGUUUCCUGCUCGCUGAUUAUGUCCUCCUUGUCUUCUUCACACGCCAUGCUCAACAGCUCCUUCAUCUUCUCCUCAACUAUGUCAUGGAUGGACUCAUUGUGCUCCUGAUAAUUCACCUGAUUAUUGACCUUCUCGAUGUAGGUGGCAAAGAGGCUAUUCAGUAACUGCAGCUCUUUCUUCUCCAUCGCCCUGUUUGCAAAAGAGCACUCAGUGACUUUGUGGGAAGCAAAGCCUGGGCAGUAAGAGGAAGCAGUUUGUGCUGAAGAAAUGCUGGAGCUCACAGAAAGCCUGGCGAGAGUUGCAACUGAAGCAGAACCUGCUUGUCCAUCUAUUUGUAGGAGCCAUACCAGAGGGAUUGAUGAGCUCUUUGAAAUAUUCCUUAUAGCUGUAUCCUCAGUUGAAGUCAUCCCCACGCUUCCAGGUUAACAACAGUCUUCUUCCAUGGCCUCACUGAACUCCUCCCACACCUUGGGCCCAUCUCAGCUACCAUAGGGCAAGAGGCGAGAUAAACCCUGGACAGGUCAUCAGUCUGUCACAGGGCUACCACAGAGUGACAGACAACAAUUCGCAAUCACAAAUACCACCCAAAGUUUGGACCCACAAAGGAGAUGAUGAGAAUAUCCAAACUCCACUGUGUACAAUAUCCAUCUUUUCUGGCUAUAAUUCACCUCCUCAGGGAUAAUGAUGCUUUCCCAAGUCAGGGCAGGAAUGUAAUCUGUCCAGUGUGCCCCUGGUCUGGCAGUGUGACUUGCUCAAACCACCUCAAUUGGAUCGUGCAAUGUGGAGGAAUAGACUAUGAAUAUACUGACUUAUUCUCUUGAUGAAAUCCUCAUUGAGAAAAAACUGCAUUUUUUUAUUUACUUGAGUUACCUUUGUCUAUUUUUUAAUGAUCUGAAACAUGUA